GACGAACGCUGGCGGCGUGCCUAAUACAUGCAAGUAGAACGCUGAAGGAGGAGCUUGCUCUUCUGGAUGAGUUGCGAACGGGUGAGUAACGCGUAGGUAACCUGCCUGUUAGCGGGGGAUAACUAUUGGAAACGAUAGCUAAUACCGCAUAAGAGUAGAUGUUGCAUGACAUUUACUUAAAAGGUGCAAUUGCAUCACUACCAGAUGGACCUGCGUUGUAUUAGCUAGUUGGUGGGGUAACGGCUUACCAAGGCGACGAUACAUAGCCGACCUGAGAGGGUGAUUGGCCACACUGGGACUGAGACACGGCCCAGACUCCUACGGGAGGCAGCAGUAGGGAAUCUUCGGCAAUGGAAGGAAGUCUGACCGAGCAACGCCGCGGGAGUGAAGAAGGUUUUCGGAUCGUAAAGCUCUGUUGUAAGAGAAGAACGAGUGUGAGAGUGGAAAGUUCACACUGUGACGGUAUCUUACCAGAAAGGGACGGCUAACUACGUG
Molecule: ribosomal RNA, 495 nt
Filed under: uncultured bacterium
Lineage: Bacteria
Description: partial 16S ribosomal RNA
Rfam family: Bacterial small subunit ribosomal RNA
Source: RNAcentral